AGAGUUUGAUCCUGGCUCAGAUUGAACGCUGGCGGCAGGCCUAACACAUGCAAGUCGAGCGGUAGAGAGGAGCUUGCUCCUCUUGAGAGCGGCGGACGGGUGAGUAAUGCCUAGGAAUCUGCCUGGUAGUGGGGGAUAACGUUCGGAAACGGACGCUAAUACCGCAUACGUCCUACGGGAGAAAGCAGGGGACCUUCGGGCCUUGCGCUAUCAGAUGAGCCUAGGUCGGAUUAGCUAGUUGGUGAGGUAAUGGCUCACCAAGGCGACGAUCCGUAACUGGUCUGAGAGGAUGAUCAGUCACACUGGAACUGAGACACGGUCCAGACUCCUACGGGAGGCAGCAGUGGGGAAUAUUGGACAAUGGGCGAAAGCCUGAUCCAGCCAUGCCGCGUGUGUGAAGAAGGUCUUCGGAUUGUAAAGCACUUUAAGUUGGGAGGAAGGGCAGUAAAUUAAUACUUUGCUGUUUUGACGUUACCGACAGAAUAAGCACCGGCUAACUCUGUGCCAGCAGCCGCGGUAAUACAGAGGGUGCAAGCGUUAAUCGGAAUUACUGGGCGUAAAGCGCGCGUAGGUGGUUUGUUAAGUUGGAUGUGAAAUCCCCGGGCUCAACCUGGGAACUGCAUUCAAAACUGACUGACUAGAGUAUGGUAGAGGGUGGUGGAAUUUCCUGUGUAGCGGUGAAAUGCGUAGAUAUAGGAAGGAACACCAGUGGCGAAGGCGACCACCUGGACUAAUACUGACACUGAGGUGCGAAAGCGUGGGGAGCAAACAGGAUUAGAUACCCUGGUAGUCCACGCCGUAAACGAUGUCAACUAGCCGUUGGAAGCCUUGAGCUUUUAGUGGCGCAGCUAACGCAUUAAGUUGACCGCCUGGGGAGUACGGCCGCAAGGUUAAAACUCAAAUGAAUUGACGGGGGCCCGCACAAGCGGUGGAACAUGUGGUUUAAUUCGAAGCAACGCG
Molecule: ribosomal RNA, 960 nt
Filed under: uncultured bacterium
Lineage: Bacteria
Description: bacterial SSU rRNA
Rfam family: Bacterial small subunit ribosomal RNA
Source: RNAcentral